Molecule: ribosomal RNA, 445 nt
Filed under: uncultured organism
Description: bacterial SSU rRNA
Rfam family: Bacterial small subunit ribosomal RNA
Source: RNAcentral
GAUGAACGCUGGCGGCGUGCCUAAUACAUGCAAGUCGAGCGGUAAGGUCCCUUCGGGGAUACACGAGCGGCGGACGGCUGAGUAACGCGUAGGAACGUACCCCAAAGUGAGGGAUAAGCACCAGAAAUGGUGUCUAAUACCGCAUGUGAUCUUCGGAUUAAAGCUUUAUGCGCUUUGGGAACGGCCUGCGUCCGAUUAGUUAGUUGGCGAGGUAAAAGCUCACCAAGACGACGAUCGGUAGCUGGUCUGAGAGGAUGAUCAGCCAGACUGGGACUGAGACACGGCCCAGACUCCUACGGGAGGCAGCAGUAGGGAAUUUUCCACAAUGGACGAAAGUCUGAUGGAGCAACGCCGCGUGCAGGAUGAAGGCCUUCGGGUUGUAAACUGCUUUUGUGAGUGAAGACUUCCGACGGUAACUCACGAAUAAGGAUCGGCUAACUACGUG